CGUUCCCGGGUCUUGUACACACCGCCCGUUACACCAUGGGAGCGGGAUGUACCAGAAGUAGGUAGGCUAACCGCAAGGGGGCCGCUUACCACGGUGCGUUUCGUGACUGGGGUG
This 114-nucleotide ribosomal RNA is filed under the name uncultured bacterium. Its description in RNAcentral is "partial 16S ribosomal RNA". It matches the Rfam family "Bacterial small subunit ribosomal RNA", at positions 1369 to 1482 of the family's 1533-position model. The record is from RNAcentral.